Molecule: non-coding RNA, 78 nt
Filed under: Cephalotus follicularis
Lineage: Eukaryota; Viridiplantae; Streptophyta; Magnoliopsida; Oxalidales; Cephalotaceae
Source: RNAcentral
UUGUUUGUAGAAAGAAUAGAUGGUUGGCAUCUCCCCUGAGAGGAACGGGUACAGCCUUAGGGUAUCACUCAAUUUUUU